AAUGGUGUGGUCACAUCUCAAGAAGUUCCUGCCUUGCCGAGACCAUCGUGUAAGGCACAGUGAGGGCCGGGCGAAGACGAGGAAGACAGAAGAAGCGAUGGCUGUGUAACACCAGAGAGUGGACAGGCCUUGACUUUGCCAGCUUACAGGGGACAGUUGAGGACAGACAGUGAUGGCGAGGACUGAUUGCGGAUUCAACAGCGGUGCCCCAACGACCUCUCGAGAGGUUGCGGGAUAGGUGAGAUGAGAUAUCAAGCCACUUUGGCCAAGCCUGCAAGAACAAAGAGAUCAAAAGUGCCUUCCUCUGGCCACGGAGUGGCAGAGCCGCCUGUUCUCCGACGCCGUCUCUUGUUUACAGCUUUCAUCUUAUCCUGCAGCAGCGGGCGUUGCGUCAUCAGCAUGCUUUCUGCUGUUGGAGGGGUUGCCAUGGUCCCGUGUUCGGGGCUCUCACG
Lampris incognitus (smalleye Pacific opah) is the source of this 452-nucleotide long non-coding RNA. RefSeq lists it as uncharacterized. The record is from RefSeq and is a predicted model, not a curated record. The transcript has 3 exons. Lineage: Eukaryota; Metazoa; Chordata; Actinopteri; Lampriformes; Lampridae.